AUACGUAGGGUGCGAGCGUUGUUCGGAUUUACUGGGCGUAAAGGGUGUCUAGGCGGAUCGGUAAGCUAGAGGUUAAAGCCCGGGGCUCAACCCCGGAAUCGCUUUUAGAACUGCAGAUCUAGAGAGGGUCAGAGGCCAGCGGAAUUCCAGGUGUAGAGGUGAAAUUCGUAGAUAUCUGGAGGAACACCGGCGGCGAAAGCGGCUGGCUGGGGCCCAUCUGACGCUGAAGCACGAAAGCGUGGGGAGCGAACGGGAUUAGAAACCCCAGUAGUCC
RNAcentral lists this ribosomal RNA (274 nucleotides) under uncultured bacterium. RNAcentral's name for it is "partial 16S ribosomal RNA". It matches the Rfam family "Bacterial small subunit ribosomal RNA", at positions 523 to 796 of the family's 1533-position model. The record is from RNAcentral.